This 429-nucleotide ribosomal RNA is filed under the name uncultured prokaryote. RNAcentral describes it as "bacterial SSU rRNA". It matches the Rfam family "Bacterial small subunit ribosomal RNA", at positions 355 to 776 of the family's 1533-position model. RNAcentral also lists the same sequence under 1 other name. The record is from RNAcentral.
UGGGGAAUAUUGCACAAUGGGGGAAACCCUGAUGCAGCCAUGCCGCGUGUGUGUAGAAGGCCUUCGGGUUGUAAAGCACAUUCAGUCAGGAGGUAAGGUGGCUAGCUAAUAUCUAGUUGCUGUGACGUUACUGACAGAAGAAGCACCGGCUAACUCCGUUCAAGCAGCCGCGGUAAUACGGAGGGUGCAAGCGUUAAUCGGAAUUACUGGGCGUAAAGCGCACGCAGGCGGCUUGUUAAGUCAGAUGUGAAAGCCCCGGGCUCAACCUGGGAACUGCAUUUGAAACUGACAAGCUAGAGUCUUGUAGAGGGGGGUAGAAUUCCAGGUGUAGCGGUGAAAUGCGUAGAGAUCUGGAGGAAUACCGGUGGCGAAGGCGGCCCCCUGGACAGAGACUGACGCUCAGGUGCGAAAGCGUGGGGAGCAAACAGG